GUGGCUGUUGCUCAGUGGUAGAGCGCUCAUCUAACACGUGCAAGGCCCUGGGUUCGAUUCUCAGCACCACA
Molecule: transfer RNA, 71 nt
Filed under: Marmota marmota marmota (Alpine marmot)
Lineage: Eukaryota; Metazoa; Chordata; Mammalia; Rodentia; Sciuridae
Also listed under: 1 other name
Rfam family: tRNA
About the family: Transfer RNA (tRNA) molecules are approximately 80 nucleotides in length. Their secondary structure includes four short double-helical elements and three loops (D, anti-codon, and T loops). Further hydrogen bonds mediate the characteristic L-shaped molecular structure. tRNAs have two regions of fundamental functional importance: the anti-codon, which is responsible for specific mRNA codon recognition, and the 3' end, to which the tRNAs corresponding amino acid is attached (by aminoacyl-tRNA synthetases). tRNAs cope with the degeneracy of the genetic code in two manners: having more than one tRNA (with a specific anti-codon) for a particular amino acid; and 'wobble' base-pairing, i.e. permitting non-standard base-pairing at the 3rd anti-codon position.
Source: Rfam by way of RNAcentral